This 6369-nucleotide small RNA is filed under the name Rattus norvegicus (Norway rat). Its description in RNAcentral is "uncharacterized LOC102552001". Lineage: Eukaryota; Metazoa; Chordata; Mammalia; Rodentia; Muridae. The record is from RNAcentral.
GCAGCAAAAGGAAGGCAGAGUCAGAAAGGAGGAAACAGGAUGUGAGGCAGAGGAUGAGAGACAUUGUAAGAAGGCGUGGUGGUUCCCUGAUAGGAAGACUAUGCUUAAAGAACCAUCUCUUACCAAGUCUGAGCUCACGUCUUCACUGUAUUAAAGACCCAUGUGCUGAUGACUAAGUCAAAUUCUUAUUUUGUUACUGAGCCAAACAUAAUUUUUUAAGUUUAAUUUGGAUAUUUUCCCCCUUCUUCUGUCAUGUCUGUGGUUUAAUAGGUACUGUAGAAGUCAUUCUGGAGAUCAGUUUCAGGAGUUGGGGGAGGAGCACGUUCUCUUCUCUAUUCACUUUACAUCGCAGUAUCAGCCCCCCUUCUCCUCCCAGUCCCUACCUCACAUGCCUCUCUCCCUAAGCCCCCUUCCUUUCUCCAAGAAGGGGGAGGCCCUCACCCCAUGGGUAUCACCCCGCCCUGGCUCAUCAAAUCACUGCAGGAUUAGGUGUAUUCUCUCCCACUAAGGCCAGACAAGGCAGCUCAGUUAGGGAAAUUUGUUGUACCUCACUUAGGAACCGGAAGUUCUGUUAUUGAGAACCAACACUGUAUUCGAUAGACUUCUUAAGUACAAAACAGCUUGAAUAUAAAGUAACAGUCUCAUGUGAUGGGAAUACACCACGCCUAAAAGUUUGUCUCUAUUGUGUUCUCCCACUCCCAUUUUGAUUUUUUUUAAUUUCAAUAAUGAAUUGCACUCUGUAAAAUAGAGCAAUUUAAUACAGUCUUUGACAUUUUUUUUUGCUAACAAAACCAUAUCCAUCAUGAGCUGGCUGCUUUUCACAUAGCAUCUGUAUUCCAUGCUAUAAUCCUACCUUACACGUUAUGUUUAUUUUUGAGCUAGGAAAGUAAAGAGUUAGGAAAGUUCUCUAAAAAUUUAGACGAAUAAUCAGAACUUGGAUCCAAACCUGAUUCAAAACUCUGAGACUAUUAUUUUUCCCCCUGCUUAGACAAAAUCAGACAUGCAGGAUAUUGGCAAACUAUGGCUAAAAUAUCUAGGUUGGAGCUUCCGCUGGAGAGGAGGAAGAGAAGGCCUUUCAGAAGGCUCACUAUUGCACAGUCUCAGAUUGGUUUCUCCUGCACGAAAAUCACUGAAAUUGGCAGGACGGAAAUAGAUGCUACUGGGAUCUUACUUUUGUGCCUCUGUGUAGUGCAUCCAUUAAUUACACAGAUGAGACGCAUUCGCCUCUUCCAGCAUGUAAUAACUCACCAUACAAUAGGGGAGUAAGAUCAAGUCGUACAUUAAGCACAUUGCAGAGUGAUUUAGUGAGGGCAGUUUUCAAUUGUGAAGAGCUCAUGUAAGUCAUUUUUUAGACCUUGAUGCUGAUUCAAAACCCACAGUCUAAUGUGCCAGGAAGAUCAAAUGUCCUCGGUGAACUGAAUGAAUAGGCAAACCUGACAUAGGCAAUGCUUGUGUUCAAACCUGGAAAGGCAGCGGAUCCUUUCUUUUCAGAAUUGUUCAGGAAAUGGUCUGAUUUAAAUUUCAAAUAUGUAUAUGAUUCCUAGCUUCUGAAAUGGUUUUCAGUCCUGUUAUAUGUAUUCCGGUUUUUAAAUAUAGCUUCAACAUGACGCCAAGGCUGAGUUCCAUUUUAAUUGCUCCUUGUUGAUUUUGAAAUCUGAUAGGCUUGAUUAUUGCCUCUAAUAACCCUGGGGGCAGUGGUCAAUUGCUGCCUUGUCCCGAAGAGUGACUGGGAUGCUUCCAAAAUGGAGAGGCCUGUAUUGUCUGUUCUGCACUCCCUAGCGCUGGAAGAAUGGGUGGCUUGUGGUUGAAAUUCCCAUUUGUUGCCACUCAUAGUUGAUCAUAAAACAUUCAUCCUACAGGGGAGUGCUCGCUAAUAAAUAUUAAUGCUUUGCUGAGAGGCUGAGCAGAAAGACUUUCUCCUCUUCUGAAAGUGCCUCCGCAUUGCGCACUAGGCAAAGGAAAACGCUCCAGUUACUGUGCUGAUUUUCAGUGGCAGGUCCUGAGGACUCAGUGCCGUGGGGGUGGGGAAGACACAGCAGCUCUGUGAGAGUAAAGGGAGACUGGAGUAUUGGGGAUUAAAUGAUGUGUGACAGUGGACCCUAGUCACUUGUGCUGGCUUCCUAUCUACCUGCCUCUGUCCUUCCUUCCCUUCUUCCCCACCACUCAUAUUCAUUCCUGACUCUACUUCAAGACUAUUAGUAAAAGUAACAUUUUUUAAGUGGGGGGAAAAGGAAGGAAAAACAUUGUGAAGUCAACUGAGCAUUUCAUCAGAAUAUGGAAGGCAAUUCCAUUGUCCACUUUUUUUCCAUUACCGAAUCCUAAGCCCAGUGGCUCGUCAGUCUCCGGACAUGUGGCAACCCUCUCUUGUGAACAUAGAUCGGCAGUGCUUAGAGGAUGCUGGACACCUGCAUCAGCCAUGGCAAAACUGUCAAAUUUGGAUUUCUCCAUUAUCUGAAUCCCUUUUCUUUUGAUCUUAGGUGUAGCAAGUUAUAGGUUGCCAUAUUUUGGCAGAGAGGUUUUCUGAUGAACAAUAGAGGGUAGAAAUCUGAAAAACGGGAAAAAUUCCCCAGUAUUUCUGUCCUCUUUAGGGGAAGCUUUACAGAGUCCUGGAACAUCCCCAACAGCAUAAAUCAAGGACGGAAUUGCAGUUCUGUCUAUGGCUGUUGGAACCCGAGUCUCUUAAUUUGUAAAAUGGACAUGAUAAAACGACUGACCUCAGGGGGACUGGCUCAGAUUGCAUGGGCAAAGAACCAGGCAUGAUGCCCAGCUCCUAGCAAGCAUUGUAGAAUAUUAAUUCCUUAGCCAGCUCUGCUCUGUCUUACCAACUAUAUGCUUCCAGUUGUAAAACAGCAAUCAGAGCAUAAUGUGGGACAGACCCCCUCGCCUUUGUUUUACCCAAGAGACUUAGAUCGAUGUGAAGCAAGGAGGGAAAUAUCAACCGUCUGCUGGCAAAAUGUGCAAAGCAUGGCGUGUCACCUCCCUCCAGGCCUCUAAGAAGAUGAUGGCUUGGAACUAUUUGUUGAUUAACUGAAACGUUGGAAACAACUUCCAUCCUUCCGAGAAACGUAUUUUGGUCUAACGUGCCUACCAAAAUCCACUUAAUAUUCCUUAUUACAAACUACACAAAAAUAUGCCUGCUGUCCUUUUCGAGUUACAGUCUGUGUAUAUAUUCAAAGAUUUCCCAAUCCUUCUUGUGUAUUUUCCAAAUCGAACAAACACUGCUUUUGUAAUAACGGGAAUACAAAUGAACGUCUCCUUCUGACAGGUGUUGGAGGCAGUACAGCACAGCCAGUUUUUUGCUGUUAAUAAUUUAUAGGGGGAGGAGGGAUGCCUGUCUUUGGAGGGGUGUGCUGUUGAGUGUGUGGUGAUGUUUUCAUGGUACACUGGGUGACUGUGCAUGCGUCUCAGUGAGGACUUUGGGAAACAGAUCAUAACCUGAACUGAAGAAUGUUGAAUAGUGUCCCAAAUGCCUUUUAAUCAGUUUUCAUGAUGAGCAAAUAAAUCAACUUAGAAGUGGACUUCAGCACCUUCCUAUUCUCUGGCCUUCACCGGUCAUGGUGUGUAGGAAGCUGGUGAUGGUGUUGGGAAGAGGAUUUCACAGCUCAGUGAAGCGAUCCCCGUGACCAGGAACGACAAAUAGCAACAAGCUAGAAGAAGGCACAGUAGCCUCAGACCAUGGAGCUGCCCAGCUGUCAUGUGACCAUCACCUCAAGAGACCUCAGCUUCCCAGUGGCAGGAAACCAUAGCAUCUAUGUGUUUGUGAAUAGAAAGGCACUCUGCUGACAUUGAUGAAAUGAACCUCAUGUUCAGGUCCUCUCCCACCCCAGUUCUAACACUGAAAUCCUAAUCUGCACGGUGAUGAUGUUCAAGAGGUGAGAUCUCUAGGAGCUAAUUAUGUCAUGAGGGCUGAACCCUCAAGUAUGGGGCCUGCUUGAAUUAAAAUACCAAUAAAAAGGAAACCCUAGAGAGGUCCUCAGUGUCUUUCAUCAGGUAAGGUCCCAGUGAAAAGGACCAUUGCAGCCACAGAACUUCAGAUGUGCUUAGAGAUGAAAUUGUCAUAAAAUAGGGAGUGGAGAGAGUUAUAAUUAAUUUUCUGUAUUUUCCUGUGAAGUCUAGAUUCCAUCAAUCCCGACUCAUCUUCAUCAUGGAACAUUUAUUAAGAUUGAGGAUCUGGACUGAGUUCUAAGAAUCCUGCCCCUGAGCCCCUGAUAUAUGCCGCUCAGGCUUUUUUCAGAUUUGAGAUUCUCCAACACCAGCCAUGGACCACUAUGUCUGGCCUUGUCUUUUAGUAAGAAUAGUUCUUUUAUCCUAAUGAAAGACUUGAAAAACAAGCACUAUAACAAAAGAGCCAAGUAGAUCUUUGCAUAUUGUGGCUUGUCAGUUAUGGAAGAAUAAAGCAGAAUGAUCAAAUUCAAUAAACCUUGAUGACAGAUUUAUUGACUAGCUAGACUAAAAUUAUGUUUUCAGUGUACUGUGUAACCUGCCACUUUAAUUUCCAUUGAAAAAGGAAAUUUUGACUGUAUAUCUUUUUAAAAAUGUAAUUAACUCAUGAUUUGCUUAUACACACUAGUGGGGCUCAGCAUAAAUUUCUGUAUGUGCAUAUAGCACAGAUCAAAUCCAACUCCUCCUUUUCAAACAUCCGUUCUUUCCUGAUCUUAGUGAUCAUUUUUAUGUCAACAUUUUAAAAGCUUGUGCAUAUAAGAGAGAUGGCGGUGUGCUUGUUUACCUGUGUCUUGCCUAUUUUACCUGAUGUCACUGAUUCUGUUUGACUGUUGACAGGAUCUCCUUCUUUAUGUCCAGGUAAUAUUUAAUUAUAUAUGUGCACACAUAUACAUAUAAAUAAUCUUUAUUCAACUAUUUGUUGCUGGGCAUCCGGACUAGUUCCUUGUGUGUUGUAACUAGUGCAGCAGACUUUGGUGUGCUGCUUUGCCUUUCUUUGGACAUAUCCAGAGAACUGGUAUAUCUAUAUUUAGUUUUUGAGGAACCUCUAUAAUGCCCUGCGUACCGGCUGGAAUAAUUUAUAUUAUCGUCCCCAGUAUAUGGGUUUCAUUUCUGCACAUCUUUGCCAGAACUUGUUAUUUAUUUUAUAAUACCCGUUUUCAUCAUAGUUGGGAUUUAUAUUUCUCCAAUGGGCAAUGCUUUUCAGUGUUUUAAUAUAUUAAACAACUAGUUUGUUUUCCCAUUUUAGAGUUACAUUUGCUUAAAUUGUUUUUUAGCUUCUUUUAGAAGUUUUUAGCUUAAUUUGUCAGAGAAGCAAUGGUAAGUGUCCUGUCCCGUUCUGUAUGAUGCCUCUUCAUCCUGACGCUUCUUGUGCUGUUCAGUCCUGAGUUUGCUUUCUUUCCAACUAAUAAUAGAGCUAAUAAUAAAGCUUUCCUUUUGUUUUCUGCCAUUACAGGUCCUCUGCAGAAAACCACUGCCCCUCCAGGGGCCUUCAAGCGCUCCCUCUUUUUCAAGUUCUAGUGGCUUCUGAUCUCACACUUAAGGCUUUGCUUACCUUCCCCUCCCCCUUCUAUUUCAAUGAUUUUUUUAAGUUGAAAAUUGGUUCUUUUCUCACAUAAUAUAUCUUGAUUACUGUUUCUCCUCCCGGUUUCUCCCCCAUCUCCCCUUUCCAUCUGGUUCUCUGUCAAGUACAGAGUGCGAGAUGAGGGUCCAGUUUGACUCCUUUGGGGAUGCACCCUUUUUGUUUGUUUGUUCGUUUUUGCCACUUGUCUCUUUCUUUGCCAAUGCCAUGCUGUCUAGGACACUGCUGCUCCACAGUAGUUCUUGAUAUCAGAUAUUGUGACAUUUCCAGCUUUUAUCUCCCCAGGAUUCUUUUGGCUAUCUGGGGUCCCGUGGUUCCAUAUGGACUCUAGGGUCAUUACUCCUAGUUCUCUAAAGACUGUCACUGACCUUUUGAUAGGGAGUAGAUGGGACAUUAAAAGAAUAUUAAUUCUUCCAAUCUACAAACACGAGAAGCCUGUAUAUUUUUAAUGACUUCUUACAUAUAUUUCAUCAGUGUUUUGUAAUUAUUAUUGAGUUUUUUCCAUGUUUCUUGACUGUGUAUUCCUCAGAAUUAGCCCUGGCAGCUGUUCAUUGAGUCAUCCAGCAUCUACCUAUCUCUUGGGUUCAGAGAGGAAGUGCCUGAUCAGGCCCCUUCUGUAUAACAAUACGAAUCCUUUAAUGAACGUCUAAUUUAGUCAAUCUGGGGUACUGUUGACACCUCGGUUGGGAGGAUUGGUCAUGAGUUUAUCUAGAUAGAAUUUGGAAACCAAGUAAUCAUUUAGGAAAACUUUCAUAAUACAAAUUGAACUUUGAAAGAUGGACUUAAAAGUAUCAUGCUAUAUAUAUUACAGACACUAGGAAAAGUCACAGGACAGAGCACUCCCCAGG